AGAGCGGCGGACUGGUGAGUAACGCGUGGGUAAUCUGCCUUUGGCAUGGGGAUAGCCACUAGAAAUAGUGGGUAAUACCGAAUACGUUCCUGUGGGGGAGUGCUGCAGGAAGAAAGGGUGCUACGGCACCGGCCGAAGAUGAGCUCGCGUCCCAUUAGCCUGUUGGUGAGGUAACGGCCCACCAAGGCGAUGAUGGGUAGCCGGCCUGAGAGGGUGUACGGCCACCCUGGGACUGAGAUACGGCCCAGACUCCUACGGGAGGCAGCAGCUAAGAGUAUUCCGCAAUGGACGAAAGUCUGACGGAGCGACGCCGCGUGGAUGAAGAAGGCCGAAAGGUUGUAAAAUCCUUUUGCUGAGGAAGAAUAAGUGUGGGAGGGAAUGCCCGCAUGAUGACAUGAAUCGGCGAAUAAGCCCCGGCCAACUACGUGCCAGCAGCCGCGGUAACACGUAGGGGGCGAGCGUUGUUCGGAAUUACUGGGCGUAAAGGGCAUGUAGGCGGUUUGGUAAGCCUGGCGUGAAAGACCGCAGCUUAACUGCGGGGAUGCGUUGGGAACUGCUGAGCUUGAGUUAUGGAGAGGGAGCUGGAAUUCCUGGUGUAGGGGUGAAAUCUGUAGAUAUCAGGAAGAACACCGAUGGCGAAGGCA
Molecule: ribosomal RNA, 644 nt
Filed under: uncultured bacterium
Lineage: Bacteria
Description: bacterial SSU rRNA
Rfam family: Bacterial small subunit ribosomal RNA
Source: RNAcentral